This 460-nucleotide ribosomal RNA is filed under the name uncultured bacterium. Its description in RNAcentral is "partial 16S ribosomal RNA". It matches the Rfam family "Bacterial small subunit ribosomal RNA", at positions 338 to 795 of the family's 1533-position model. The record is from RNAcentral.
CCUACGGGAGGCAGCAGUGAGGAAUAUUGGUCAAUGGGCGCAAGCCUGAACCAGCCAAGUCGCGUGAGGGAUGACGGUCCUAUGGAUUGUAAACCUCUUUUGUCGGGGAGCAAGGCCCGCCACGUGUGGCGGGCAGGAGAGUACCCGAAGAAAAAGCAUCGGCUAAUUCCGUGCCAGAAGCCGCGGUAAUACGGAGGAUGCGAGGGUUACCCGGAUUUAUGGGGUUUAAAGGGUGCGUAGGCGGAAGGUUAAGUCAGCGGUAAAAUGGCGGUGCUCAACACCGGCCUGCCGUUGAAACUGGUCUUCUUGAGUGAGCGAGAAGUAUGCGGAAUGCGUGGUGUAGCGGUGAAAUGCAUAGAUAUCACGCAGAACUCCGAUUGCGAAGGCAGCGUACCGGCGCUCAACUGACGCUGAGGCACGAAAGCGUGGGGAUCGAACAGGAUUAGAUACCCGAGUAGUC